RNAcentral lists this ribosomal RNA (253 nucleotides) under uncultured bacterium. RNAcentral's name for it is "partial 16S ribosomal RNA". It matches the Rfam family "Bacterial small subunit ribosomal RNA", at positions 524 to 776 of the family's 1533-position model. The record is from RNAcentral.
UACAGAGGUGGCAAGCGUUGUUCGGAAUUACUGGGCGUAAAGGGCGCGUAGGCGGCCAUCUAAGUCAGACGUGAAAUCCCCCGGCUUAACCUGGGAACUGCGUCUGAUACUGGACGGCUUGAGUAUGGGAGAGGGAUGUAGAAUUCCAGGUGUAGCGGUGAAAUGCGUAGAUAUCGGGAGGAACAUCGAUGGCGAAGGCAAUCACCUGGGCCUGAACUGACACUGUGACACGAAAGCGUGGGUAGCAAACAGG